CUUUCCAACAUCCUGCUCUGUGCAGGGGCAUUCCACUAGACCAAGUUGCUCCAAAUCCCAUCCAACCUGGCCUCGAACUCUUGUAGGGAUAAGGCACUCACACUCUGAGCAGCCUAUGCCAGUGCCUCAGCACCCUCAGAGGAGUUUUAUGCCUAUGUAAUCAGUGCAGACAGCCGUUAAGUAAAUGAAGAGGCAACUAACAAUGUCAGAAAAGAGACCGGGCGGUUCCAGCUGACACUACCCUAAUCUUCCAGGACCCAUUAAAUGGCAGUUUCAACGCA
Taeniopygia guttata (zebra finch) is the source of this 281-nucleotide non-coding RNA. NCBI's taxonomy places the organism in Eukaryota, Metazoa, Chordata, Aves, Passeriformes, Estrildidae. The record is from RefSeq and is a predicted model, not a curated record.